RNAcentral lists this ribosomal RNA (621 nucleotides) under Triticum aestivum (bread wheat). RNAcentral describes it as "partial small subunit ribosomal RNA". Lineage: Eukaryota; Viridiplantae; Streptophyta; Magnoliopsida; Poales; Poaceae. The record is from RNAcentral.
AUGAGGAAGGAGUUUGGGGUUUUUGGGAUUACUGAUAUUGGGGACAUGAAUUUGGCUCUAUUAGCUUUCUGGAUCAGUAGGUACUAUAACUCUGAGGAUAAGAUUUGGAAGAACAUCAUUGAUUCCAAAUACAAACCUCAGAGCAAUAUUUUUGCUUGUUCCAGUACUGGAGUAUCCCCUUUCUGGAAAGGGGUGCUCUCGGAAGCUCAAGCUGCAAAAGUUGGUUUCUCUUGGAAGAUUGGGAAUGGCAAGAGGGUUAGGUUCUGGGAGGAUCAUUGGUUUGGCAAUGGCACUCUAGCUACCCUGUAUUGGGACCUUUAUGUUCUAGCCAAUGAACAAAAUCCCACCAUUGAUAAAAUAUGGGAUGGCCAUACCCUCAAGCUAACUUUCUAGAGAUGUUUUACCCCCGAGCAGUUGUCUUUAUGGUUCGAGCUCCUAGAAAUUGCUAGCUCUAUCCAGCUUACAGACGAUGAUGACUCGCUAGUUUGGAAUAUGAAUUCCAAAGGGGUUUACACUGUUAAAUCUUUUUAUAAAUUUAUUAAUUUCAGGGGGGUGCUACCUGUCAACUCCCCUGCCGUUUGGAAGAUCAAGAUUCCCCGUAGAAUCCAGAUUUUUCUCUAG